ACAGCAGUAGCCGCGGUAAUACGAAGGGUGCAAGCAUUAAUCGGAAUUACUGGGCGUAAAGCGCACGUAGGCGGAUAUUUAAGUCAGGGGUGAAAUCCCAGAGCUCAACUCUGGAACUGCCUUUGAUACUGGGUAUCUUGAGUAUGGAAGAGGUGAGUGGAAUUCCGAGUGUAGAGGUGAAAUUCGUAGAUAUUCGGAGGAACACCAGUGGCGAAGGCGGCUCACUGGUCCAUUACUGACGCUGAGGUGCAAAAGCGUGGGGAGCAAACAGGAUUAGAGACCCCAGUAGUCCCUGUCUCUUAUAC
This 305-nucleotide ribosomal RNA is filed under the name uncultured bacterium. RNAcentral's name for it is "partial 16S ribosomal RNA". It matches the Rfam family "Bacterial small subunit ribosomal RNA", at positions 508 to 807 of the family's 1533-position model. The record is from RNAcentral.